UACUGACGCAGAUAUGCUACUAUUUGUUAAAAACUUACUAUUUUGAGCAGUUUUGAUAAUCUUACUAAUUGUUAGAGAUUGUAGGAUGCAAGAUAAUUUCAGAUACACUUCUGCAACAUUUUCUCUGGAAUUUUCUACUUUCAUUUGAGCCACAUGGGAAAGGCAAAAAAAUUGUUCAACUAAGUAGAAAGCAGCGGAAAGGCAAAGUGAAUGCAGAUAGGCUGUCAAACAGGGUUAGGACAUGGCUUGCUAUUGACGAAGAUGACUUCACAAUAUCAGUUACCAUGUUAGAUAUACUUUGUUGUGACAGUGAAGUUCUACUUGACCCAUUGGAUGGCUAGAUUCCAUGAAUAGAAUGGAAAUGAGGCAGAAGAAUGAAAGAGAAAAGAACUUGGAAAAGUAUUUAUCAGGAGAAAGAUGGAUUCACGUCAGGAGAGCCUUGACUGUGUAGCAGUUUGGUCAAUUAAAGCACAUCAAAUGCCAUUUAGUCAGAUGAAACUGAUCAUUGAGAUAUGAAGAUGUUUCAAUUGCAGAUGGAUGCUGAGCCUCAGUUAUUCCAAUAAAAGAAGUAAGGCUUCCAACAUGCUCAUUUAGUCCUUCAUUUGCUCUCUUUCCUAUUGAGUAUUUCCGAAAUCCUUACUUCAAAAAAUUAUAAGUUUUCUGUAUCCUUUUUCGCACUGGCUAGCAAAGGGAAUGCAGAAAGUCCAGCAAAAUAAGGUGUGGUAUUCAUGCCUCCCUUUUAUCAACUUUUAUUUACUUAAAACUAUGUGCAUAAAUGUAUUUUCUUUAAGCAUUUUAAGUUUGUAUUAUCUACCUUAAGCAAGACUUGGCAAUAUUUCCUAUAAUGAUGAGACAGAUAAUGGGAAUGGUGAUGACGCAGAAAAGAAUAAGUUACUGCACUAGGAAAGGAAAAGAAAAGAAAAGGUGAGCUGCAUUUAUUUGUGGUCAGUAUUGAAAGUGGAUAUAAUUUCUAGAUUCUCUACAUUGUCUUGCGCAGCAGAAGGCAGAAGAUCAUGCUAACUCUACUGCAGAAGUUGUAGAACUGUUUGUGAAUCUUGAGGCUUGUAAAUUUGUGUAAAUCUUCAUAUGAUAUAUAUGCCGCAGGGAAAGGUCUCAUUUUGGAAGGUUUCAAUCAAUUGCAAAUUCUUUGUGUAGCUCAUGCACACUUCAAGAUACUGUAGACUGGUAUACUUAUUAACUAGCCGAAUUGUUUUUACUCUCAUUUAAACAAUCUUACUUGGAAAAUCAGUUCAUGUUUAUUGUUGCAGCAUUAAAUUUGCUGGCUCCAUUCCCACUUCCUUUUUUUCAGUGAUUUCCUUCACAAGGCAGCUGUGGAACUUCAGGAAGAGAAAAUGUUGGAAGAUGAUCCUCCACAUGAUCAAUUCAGAUAAUCUUACUAUUUAUUAGAGACUGCAAGAUGCAAGAUAAUAUUAGAUGCACAGCUGCAUUGUUUUCUCUGCAAAAUUAUUCAAUUGAGUAGAAAGCAUGUCUUUGGAGCUAUCAACUUUGCCCCAAGUGAAAGACCAAAAAAAAAAAAAAAAAAAGCGUUGGAGGUCGAUAUCAUGCCCUUUUACUAGCUCCUUACGGGAUUAUGACUGCUAAAUUUUGAGUUCAAACCGUAAACCUAAGCAGAAAUAGAGAUAUGUUUACGUCACCCAAUUGAGCUUUAAGCCUCGAGUUCUCAUCACGUUGCCAACAUCACCGGAACAGUUCCCCUUCUCUCUCUUUUUUUUUUUUUUUUUUUUUUUUUAAUUUUAAAGAAACAGUAAAAUGAUUUUACUUUUGGUUUUUGAAAAUCUAAAAACGCGUGUCUUGAUUUUCUUUUUCUCAAUCAUUCGUUAUUUUCGAUAGUUAAAUCAACCAUAAAAUUUUACCUAUUUUUUCACAAUCAAUACAUACUACCAAUAACUGAGGCCAAUUAUUAACAUUACCCUUUUACAACUCAUCAAAUUAUCACCCAUUUGUACUACCGAUAAACUUCAGAUCAAAUUGAUUGUAAACUUCACAAACUACCUGAU
Molecule: long non-coding RNA, 2018 nt
Organism: Hevea brasiliensis (rubber tree)
Lineage: Eukaryota; Viridiplantae; Streptophyta; Magnoliopsida; Malpighiales; Euphorbiaceae
Exons: 6
Source: RefSeq, a predicted model, not a curated record